AAAUGCUUGCCUGUGGACAUCUUGGAAUGUGGGGUUCCUCUACAGUCCUUUUUUGCCUGCUACCCUUCUAGGCUGAACUUAGCUAGCAUGAUUUGGGUGGAAAUAGAAUAUGGGACAUGAAAAUUUCUCUCUGUCUUUGUUUUUUUGAGAUAGAGUUUUGUUCUGUCAUCCAGGCUGGAGUGCAAUGGCAUGAUCUUGGCUCACUGCAACCUCCGCCUCCUGGGUUCAAGCUAUCCUGCUGCCUCAGCCCCUCGAGUAGCUGGAAUUACAGAUACUUUUGCCUUAUUGGAAGAAGUUUCAUAAUAAUUGCUGGCUCUCACCUAUGGCAACUCAGUUAUUUCCUUCAGAUUUUGACCUCAAGAAAUCCCAGGCAAUAUCAUACUGAAUGGGCAAAAACUGGAAGCAUUCACUUUGAAAACUGGCACAAGAAAGACAAGGAUGUCCUCUCUCACCACUCCGAUUCAACAUAGUAUUGGAAGUUCUGGCCAGGGCAAUCAGGUAAGUAAAAUAAAUAAAGGGUAUUCAGUUAGGAAAAGAGGAAGUCAAAUUGUCUUUAUUUUCAGAUGACAUGAUCGUAUAUUUAGAAGACCCCAUAAUCUCAGCCCAAAAUCUCCCUAAGCUGAUAAGCAACUUCAGCAGGUCUCAAGAUAUAAAAUCAAUGUGCAAAAAUCACAAACAUUCCUAUACACCAAUAACAGACAAACAGAGAGCCAAAUCAUGAGUGAACUCCCAUUCACAAUUGAUACAAAGAGAAUAAAAUGCCUAUGUAAGUGGGCUAAAUGCCUCAAUUAAAGACACACACUGGAAAAUUGGAUAUAGAGUCAAGAUCCAUUGUUGUGCUGUAUUAAGGAGACUCAUCUUGUGUGCAAAGACACACAGAGACUCAAAAUAAAUAGUUGGAGGAAUAUUUACCAAGCAAAUGGGAAGCAAUAAAAAUGGCAGUUUUAGUCUCUGAUGAAACAGACUUUAAACCAACAAAGAUCAAAAAAAAAAAAAAAAGAAGGAUGUUACAUAAUGGUUAAAGGAUCAAUGCAACAAGAAGAGCUAACUAUUCUAAAUAUAUAUGCACCCAAUACAGGAGCACCCAGAUUCAUAAAGCAAGUUUUUUGAGACCUACAAAGAGACUUAGCGUCCCACAUAAUAAUAGUGAGAGGCUUUAACACCCCAUGGUCAAUUUUAGACAGAUCAGUAAGACAGAAAAUUAAUAAGGAUAUUCAGGACUUGAACUCAGCUUUAGACCAAGCAGACCUAAUAGACAUCUGCAGGACUCUCCACCUCAUCAGCAGACUAUACGUUCUUCUCAGGACCAUAUUGCACUUAUUCUAAAACUGAUCACAUAAUUGGAAGUAAAACAUUCCUCAGCAAAUGCAAAAGAACAGAAAUCAUAACAUAACAAACAGUCUCUCAGCCCACAGUGUAACCAAAUUAGAACUCAGGAUUAAGAAACUCACUCAAAACCUCACAACUACAUGGAAACUGAACAACCUGCUCCUGAAUGACUACUGGGUAAGUGACAAAAUUAAGGCAGAAAAAAAUAAGUUACUUGAAACUAAUGAGAACAAAGGCACAAUGUACCAGAAUCUCUGGCACACAGCUAAAGCAGUGUUUAGAGGAAAAUUUAUAGCACUUAAAUGCUCACAGGAAAAAGUGGAAAAGAUCUAAAAUUGACACUUUAACAUCACAAUUAAAAAAACUAGAGAAGCAAGAGCAGACAAAUUCAAAAGCUAGCAGAAGACAAGAAAUAAUGAAUAUCAGAGCAGAACUGAAGGAGAUAGAGAUAUGAAAAACCCUUCAAAAAU
RNAcentral lists this long non-coding RNA (1799 nucleotides) under Callithrix jacchus (white-tufted-ear marmoset). RNAcentral's name for it is "lncRNA (ENSCJAG00000070467.1)". Lineage: Eukaryota; Metazoa; Chordata; Mammalia; Primates; Cebidae. The record is from RNAcentral.